AAUAGCCGGGUACUCUAUACUGUUUUUCCUGUUGAUAAUAUGGAAAUCUUGUGAACCUGUCAUUGAAACCUCAAAAACUCCCUAAAAAAAAAUCGUGUCACUUCAACUAGAGUCUUUUGGAAGAAGUUGAGGUGCUGCGCAGAAGUGGUUCAUAAUAUGGUUCGCGCAGCGUUAAGAGUGCCGGUUUGUCGGUCUGUCUGCUUCCCUGGCCUGAGUGUCUGUAGCCAUGGUCCAUGGAGAGGGUGUGUGAAAGACAGUGUUCUAUCGCCUUGUUUCACCUGGAUUUUAAGUGAACGAAACGGCAACACGGGCUAUGGCUGCAACUGUGUGUUGGUGUAAGGCUGCUGCAUGCCAGGAAGUGCCUAUGUAGUCAAGCAGGAGUUGUCUUUAAAGGGCAAGGCGCCGCUAGAAUGCUGCAGAGGAUUACGUCUAUAGUGUGAAGGCCGUCCCCUUUUUGGAUGCUAUUUUGCUGCAUAAAAGUGUCUGAAGAUCAGUACUGGACAGUAAUGAAAAUUGUACUGAAAAUUGUGCUAAGUUUAAAUAAAAUACUCUGGAGAGACCACAUGAAGACAAAUAAAAUACUCUGGAGAGA
Scylla paramamosain (green mud crab) is the source of this 592-nucleotide long non-coding RNA. RefSeq lists it as uncharacterized. Lineage: Eukaryota; Metazoa; Arthropoda; Malacostraca; Decapoda; Portunidae. The transcript has 3 exons. The record is from RefSeq and is a predicted model, not a curated record.